UACGUAGGGUGCAAGCGUUAAUCGGAAUUACUGGGCGUAAAGCGUGCGCAGGCGGCUAUGCAAGACAGAUGUGAAAUCCCCGGGCUUAACCUGGGAACUGCAUUUGUGACUGCAUGGCUAGAGUGCGGCAGAGGGGGAUGGAAUUCCGCGUGUAGCAGUGAAAUGCGUAGAUAUGCGGAGGAACACCGAUGGCGAAGGCAAUCCCCUGGGCCUGCACUGACGCUCAUGCACGAAAGCGUGGGGAGCAAACAGG
This 253-nucleotide ribosomal RNA is filed under the name uncultured bacterium. Its description in RNAcentral is "partial 16S ribosomal RNA". It matches the Rfam family "Bacterial small subunit ribosomal RNA", at positions 524 to 776 of the family's 1533-position model. The record is from RNAcentral.